Molecule: ribosomal RNA, 253 nt
Filed under: uncultured bacterium
Lineage: Bacteria
Description: partial 16S ribosomal RNA
Rfam family: Bacterial small subunit ribosomal RNA
Source: RNAcentral
UACAGAGGUCACGAGCGUUGUUCGGAUUCACUGGGCGUAAAGGGCGCGUAGGCUGCGGGGCAAGUCGGGUGUGAAAUCUCAGAGCUCAACUCUGAAACUGCACUCGAUACUGCUUUGCUUGAGGACUGGAGAGGAGAUUGGAAUUCACGGUGUAGCAGUGAAAUGCGUAGAUAUCGUGAGGAAGACCAGUGGCGAAGGCGGAUCUCUGGACAGUUCCUGACGCUGAGGCGCGAAGGCCAGGGGAGCAAGCGGG